GACGAACGCUGGCGGCGUGCUUAACACAUGCAAGUCGAACGGAAAGGCCCUGCUUUUGUGGGGUGCUCGAGUGGCGAACGGGUGAGUAACACGUGAGUAACCUGCCCUUGACUUUGGGAUAACUUCAGGAAACUGGGGCUAAUACCGGAGAGGAGCUCCUGCUGCAUGGGGGGGGUUGGAAAGUUUCGGCGGUUGGGGAUGGACUCGCGGCUUAUCAGCUGGUUGGUGGGGUAGUGACUUACCAAGGCUUUGACGGGUAGCCGGCCUGAGAGGGUGACCGGCCACAUUGGGACUGAGAUACGGCCCAGACUCCGACGGGACGCAGAAGUGGGGAAUCCUGCCCAAUGGGCGGCAGCCUGAUGCAGCAAGGCCGCGUGCGGGAUGACGGUCUUAGGGUUGUAAAACGAUUUCGUCUGUGACGAAGCGCGAGUGACGGUAAUGGGUAAAGAAGCACCGGCUAAACACGUGC
This 469-nucleotide ribosomal RNA is filed under the name uncultured bacterium. RNAcentral's name for it is "partial 16S ribosomal RNA". It matches the Rfam family "Bacterial small subunit ribosomal RNA", at positions 28 to 508 of the family's 1533-position model. The record is from RNAcentral.